This is a long non-coding RNA of Haliotis rubra (blacklip abalone), 135 nucleotides long. RefSeq lists it as uncharacterized. The record is from RefSeq and is a predicted model, not a curated record. Lineage: Eukaryota; Metazoa; Mollusca; Gastropoda; Lepetellida; Haliotidae. The transcript has 3 exons.
GUCUAACUGACAUCGGUGUUCUGUUCUCCUUUAAGGAGCUCGGGAACCCAAGGGUAGUUCUUGUGCUUAACGUUGAGAAAGCCUGCAGUUGGAACCAGUUGACACAAUAUCUGUCAAGCAGUGGAUAUGAGUACA